AAUCAACGCUGGCGGCGUGCCUAACACAUGCAAGUCGAACGCGAAAGGGGGCUUCGGCUCCUAAGUAGAGUGGCGUCCGGGUGAGUAACACGUAGGUAAUCUGCCUUCGGGUGGGGAAUAACCAGUCGAAAGAUUGGCUAAUACCGCAUAAUGCAGCGGCACCUAAUGGUGAUUAGUUGUUAAAGCGGGGGAGUCGUAAGACCUCGCGCCUGAAGAGGAGCCUGCGGCAGAUUAGCUAGUUGGUGAGGUAAUGGCUCACCAAGGCUUCGAUCUGUAGCUGGUCUGAGAGGACGGCCAGCCACACUGGCACUGACACACGGGCCAGACUCCUACGGGAGGCAGCAGUGGGGAAUUUUGGGCAAUGGGCGAAAAGCCUAACCCAGCAACGCCGCGUGAGGGAGGAAAUCCUUCGGGAUGUAAACCCUCACAAGCAAGGGAAGAGAGCUCAGGGCCGAAUAAGCUUUGAGUCCGACGGUACCUUGCGU
RNAcentral lists this ribosomal RNA (485 nucleotides) under uncultured bacterium. Its description in RNAcentral is "bacterial SSU rRNA". It matches the Rfam family "Bacterial small subunit ribosomal RNA", at positions 32 to 485 of the family's 1533-position model. The record is from RNAcentral.